This 468-nucleotide ribosomal RNA is filed under the name uncultured bacterium. RNAcentral describes it as "partial 16S ribosomal RNA". It matches the Rfam family "Bacterial small subunit ribosomal RNA", at positions 28 to 507 of the family's 1533-position model. The record is from RNAcentral.
GACGAACGCUUGCUUCUUUCUUAACACAUGCAAGUCGAACGGAAAGGCCCUGCUUUUGUGGGGUGCUCGAGUGGCGAACGGGUGAGUAACACGUGAGUAACCUGCCCUUGACUUUGGGAUAACUUCAGGAAACUGGGGCUAAUACCGGAUAGGAGCUCCUGCUGCAUGGUGGGGGUUGGAAAGUUUCGGCGGUUGGGGAUGGACUCGCGGCUUAUCAGCUUGUUGGUGGGGUAGUGGCUUACCAAGGCUUUGACGGGUAGCCGGCCUGAGAGGGUGACCGGCCACAUUGGGACUGAGAUACGGCCCAGACUCCUACGGGAGGCAGCAGUGGGGAAUAUUGCACAAUGGGCGGAAGCCUGAUGCAGCAACGCCGCGUGCGGGAUGACGGCCUUCGGGUUGUAAACCGCUUUCGCCUGUGACGAAGCGUGAGUGACGGUAAUGGGUAAAGAAGCACCGGCUAACUACGGG